UUACACAGCCAUAUCACCCUGCAGCCCAAGACUGGUUGCCUACUAAAGCUAAGCAGGGUUGAGCCUGGUCAGUACCUGGAUGGGAGACCUCCUGGGAAAACUGUUGGAAGAGGUGUUAG
RNAcentral lists this ribosomal RNA (119 nucleotides) under Sinocyclocheilus rhinocerous. Lineage: Eukaryota; Metazoa; Chordata; Actinopteri; Cypriniformes; Cyprinidae. The record is from RNAcentral.